AGCUCAGUGGUCGAGUGGUUAAGACAUCUGCACUAUAAGCAGGAGGUCAUGGGUUCGAGUCCCACUUGAGUAA
Molecule: non-coding RNA, 73 nt
Organism: Acanthaster planci (crown-of-thorns starfish)
Lineage: Eukaryota; Metazoa; Echinodermata; Asteroidea; Valvatida; Acanthasteridae
Source: the annotation of a RefSeq genome assembly